This 497-nucleotide ribosomal RNA is filed under the name uncultured bacterium. RNAcentral describes it as "partial 16S ribosomal RNA". It matches the Rfam family "Bacterial small subunit ribosomal RNA", at positions 28 to 507 of the family's 1533-position model. The record is from RNAcentral.
GAUGAACGCUGGCGGCGUGCCUAAUACAUGCAAGCCGAGCGAACGGACGAGAAGCUUGCUUUUCUGAUGUUAGCGGCGGACGGGUGAGUAACACGUGGAUAACCUACCUAUAAGACUGGGAUAACUUCGGGAAACCGGAGCUAAUACCGGAUAAUAUUUUGAACCGCAUGGUUCAAAAGUGAAAGACGGUCUUGCUGUCACUUAUAGAUGGAUCCGCGCUGCAUUAGCUAGUUGGUAAGGUAACGGCUUACCAAGGCAACGAUGCAUAGCCGACCUGAGGGGGUGAUCGGCCACACUGGAACUGAGACACGGUCCAGACUCCUACGGGAGGCAGCAGUAGGGAAUCUUCCGCAAUGGGCGAAAGCCUGACGGAGCAACGCCGCGUGAGUGAUGAAGGUCUUCGGAUCGUAAAACUCUGUUAUUAGGGAAGAACAUAUGUGUAAGUAACUGUGCACAUCUUGACGGUACCUAAUCAGAAAGCCACGGCUAACUACGUG